This 468-nucleotide ribosomal RNA is filed under the name uncultured bacterium. Its description in RNAcentral is "partial 16S ribosomal RNA". It matches the Rfam family "Bacterial small subunit ribosomal RNA", at positions 28 to 507 of the family's 1533-position model. The record is from RNAcentral.
GACGAACGCUGGCGGCGUGCUUAACACAUGCAAGUCGAACGGAAAGGCCCUGCUAUUGUGGGGUGCUCGAGUGGCGAACGGGUGAGUAACACGUGAGUAACCUGCCCUUGACUUUGGGAUAACUUCAGGAAACUGGGGCUAAUACCGGAUAGGAGCUCCUGCUGCAUGGUGGGGGUUGGAAAGUUUCGGCGGUUGGGGAUGGACUCGCGGCUUAUCAGCUUGUUGGUGGGGUAGUGGCUUACCAAGGCUUUGACGGGUAGCCGGCCUGAGAGGGUGACCGGCCACAUUGGGACUGAGAUACGGCCCAGACUCCUACGGGAGGCAGCAGUGGGGAAUAUUGCACAAUGGGCGGAAGCCUGAUGCAGCAACGCCGCGUGCGGGAUGACGGCCUUCGGGUUGUAAACCGCUUUCGCCUGUGACGAAGCGUGAGUGACGGUAAUGGGUAAAGAAGCACCGGCUAACUACGUG